AAGUCGUAACAAGGUUUCCGUAGGUGAACCUGCGGAAGGAUCAUUAACACGUAUCCAAACGUUAAACAACCCCGUGAACAUACAACCUGCUCUGGUCGCCCGCUCGCAUGGACAAGCCCAGUAAAUCAAGCCCCGGAAAGUUUUUGAUUUGGGACCUCUGUGCGCGUGAGAAAAACUGACAGCCCGAACAACUGUUAACAAUGGAUAUCUUGGUUCUC
This 218-nucleotide unclassified non-coding RNA is filed under the name fungal sp. RNAcentral's name for it is "partial internal transcribed spacer region". The stretch from base 1 to 46 matches the Rfam family "Eukaryotic small subunit ribosomal RNA", at positions 1786 to 1831 of the family's 1831-position model. The record is from RNAcentral. Lineage: Eukaryota; Fungi.